This 622-nucleotide ribosomal RNA is filed under the name uncultured bacterium. RNAcentral's name for it is "bacterial SSU rRNA". It matches the Rfam family "Bacterial small subunit ribosomal RNA", at positions 338 to 951 of the family's 1533-position model. The record is from RNAcentral.
CCUACGGGAGGCAGCAGUGGGGAAUUUUGGACAAUGGGCGAAAGCCUGAUCCAGCAAUGCCGCGUGAGUGAAGAAGGCCUUCGGGUUGUAAAGCUCUUUUGUCAGGGAAGAAACGGUGAAAGCUAAUAUCUUUUGCUAAUGACGGUACCUGAAGAAUAAGCACCGGCUAACUACGUGCCAGCAGCCGCGGUAAUACGUAGGGUGCAAGCGUUAAAUCGGAAUUACUGGGCGUAAAGCGUGCGCAGGCGGUUUUGUAAGUCUGAUGUGAAAUCCCCGGGCUCAACCUGGGAAUUGCAUUGGAGACUGCAAGGCUAGAAUCUGGCAGAGGGGGUAGAAUUCCACGUGUAGCAGUGAAAUGCGUAGAUAUGUGGAGGAACACCGAUGGCGAAGGCAGCCCCCUGGGUCAAGAUUGACGCUCAUGCACGAAAGCGUGGGGAGCAAACAGGAUUAGAUACCCUGGUAGUCCACGCCCUAAACGAUGUCUACUAGUUGUCGGGUCUUAAUUGACUUGGUAAACGCAGCUAACGCGUGAAGUAGACCGCUGGGGAGUACGGUCGCAAGNUUAAAACUCAAAAGGAAUUGAACGGCGUGAGACGAGACGAGACGACGACGAGGGAGGAGG